RNAcentral lists this ribosomal RNA (253 nucleotides) under uncultured bacterium. RNAcentral's name for it is "partial 16S ribosomal RNA". It matches the Rfam family "Bacterial small subunit ribosomal RNA", at positions 524 to 776 of the family's 1533-position model. The record is from RNAcentral.
UACGUAGGGUGCGAGCGUUAAUCGGAAUUACUGGGCGUAAAGUGUGCGCAGGUGGCUUCGCAAGUCGAGUGUGAAAUCCCCGGGCUUAACCUGGGAAUUGCGCUCGAAACUACGGAGCUGGAGUGUGGCAGAGGGAGGUGGAAUUCCACGUGUAGCGGUGAAAUGCGUAGAGAUGUGGAGGAACACCAAUGGCGAAGGCAGCCUCCUGGGCCAACACUGACACUCAUGCACGAAAGCGUGGGGAGCAAACAGG